CCCAGGCAGAGCACCAGGCAGAGCACCAGGCAGAGCCCCAGGCAGAGCCCCAGGCAGAGCACCAGGCAGAGCACCAGGCAGAGCACCAGGCAAAGCCCCAGGCAAAGCCCCAGGCAAAGCCCCAGGAACUCCAGGCAAAGCCCCAGGCAGAGCCCCAGGCAAAGCCCCAGGCAAAGCCCCAGGCAAAGCCCCAGGCAAAGCCCCAGGAACUCCAGGCAAAGCCCCAGGCAAAGCCCCAGGAACUCCAGGCAAAGCCCCAGGCAGAGCCCCAGGCAGAGCACCAGGCAGAGCACCAGGCAGAGCCCCAGGUGCCCCAGGCAAAGCCCCAGGCAAAGCCCCAGGCAAAGCCCCAGGAACUCCAGGCAAAGCCCCAGGCAGAGCACCAGGCAGAGCACCAGGCAGAGCACCAGGCAGAGCACCAGGAACUCCAGGCAAAGCCCCAGGCAGAGCCCCAGGCAGAGCCCCAGGAGCCCCAGGCCGAGCCCCAGGAGCCCCAGGCAAAGCCCCAGGCAAAGCCCCAGGCAAAGCCCCAGGCAAAGCCCCAGGAGCUCCAGGCAAAGCCCCAGGCAAAGCCCCAGGAACUCCAGGCAAAGCCCCAGGCAGAGCCCCAGGCAGAGCACCAGGCAGAGCCCCAGGCAGAGCCCCAGGCAGAGCCCCAGGUGCCCCAGGCAAAGCCCCAGGCAAAGCCCCAGGCAAAGCCCCAGGAACUCCAGGCAAAGCCCCAGGCAAAGCCCCAGGAACUCCAGGCAAAGCCCCAGGCAAGCCCCAGGCAAAGCUCCAGGCAAAGCCCCAGGCAAGCCUCUUGGUGGUAAGGGCCAUGCGCCUGGGACAGCCAGUUCAGGUCUAGGCCAAGAGGAUGGAAUGAAACCAGGCCUCCCUCUAGGCCCAAAUGAAGGGCCAGGGACAGUCUCAGUCAUGGAGACCCGAGUCUGCUGUAGCCCCAGGGGGCCACGAAACUCAUCGGCCUGAGCGAAUUCCUGUCUCUCAAGGGGUCCUGUGGUUCCAACAGGCAUGAAGGUCUUCGUGGGGUGUGCGAUAUGGUCUUCAUCCUCAAACUGCCCCAGUUCCUCCUUAGAUCUCUGCAGGGAAGAGGACCAAUUGACUGUCUG
RNAcentral lists this long non-coding RNA (1109 nucleotides) under Cricetulus griseus (Chinese hamster). Its description in RNAcentral is "lncRNA (ENSCGRG00015037374.1)". Lineage: Eukaryota; Metazoa; Chordata; Mammalia; Rodentia; Cricetidae. The record is from RNAcentral.